Molecule: long non-coding RNA, 402 nt
Filed under: Musa acuminata (dwarf banana)
Lineage: Eukaryota; Viridiplantae; Streptophyta; Magnoliopsida; Zingiberales; Musaceae
Description: long non-coding RNA (MACU_LNC007973)
Source: RNAcentral
GACUGGACAGCAUAUCUGGUCAUGCUUAGUGUGGACGUGUAUAUUCAAGGACUAACAAAUUCGCUUCUGGUCAUGCUUAGUGUGUACGUUAGAAGAAGUAUAUUCCAGGACUCAUAAAUUAGCGGAAAAGUGAUCCAUGCCAUAGCUCGGAGAGAAAGGAGACUCGCGGCCGAUGCUAAUGUGAUUUCGUUUUUGAGUGUUGGGGUUGUAAGCUAGAGUUUUUGAGUGUUGUGAAUAAGCUGUUAAUAAGUGAGCAGGGUUGGUUGUUACCCUUAUUACAGAAGUCGUGCUCUUCCAUUCUCUUGCACUCACAUUCAACGCACUAACGCUUAUUGGUGUUUCGGAAGAAUAAUAAGAUAGGUAGCUUCACUCAGGCCCAACUAUAGUAGUAGCAAUAGAAGU